Molecule: ribosomal RNA, 639 nt
Filed under: Salmonella enterica subsp. enterica serovar Stanley
Lineage: Bacteria; Pseudomonadati; Pseudomonadota; Gammaproteobacteria; Enterobacterales; Enterobacteriaceae
Description: partial 23S ribosomal RNA
Rfam family: Bacterial large subunit ribosomal RNA
Source: RNAcentral
UGUUUGAUGUUCUAACGUGGACCCGUGAUCCGGGUUGCGGACAGUGUCUGGUGGGUAGUUUGACUGGGGCGGUCUCCUCCUAAAGAGUAACGGAGGAGCACGAAGGUUGGCUAAUCCUGGUCGGACAUCAGGAGGUUAGUGCAAUGGCAUAAGCCAGCUUGACUGCGAGCGUGACGGCGCGAGCAGGUGCGAAAGCAGGUCAUAGUGAUCCGGUGGUUCUGAAUGGAAGGGCCAUCGCUCAACGGAUAAAAGGUACUCCGGGGAUAACAGGCUGAUACCGCCCAAGAGUUCAUAUCGACGGCGGUGUUUGGCACCUCGAUGUCGGCUCAUCACAUCCUGGGGCUGAAGUAGGUCCCAAGGGUAUGGCUGUUCGCCAUUUAAAGUGGUACGCGAGCUGGGUUUAGAACGUCGUGAGACAGUUCGGUCCCUAUCUGCCGUGGGCGCUGGAGAACUGAGGGGGGCUGCUCCUAGUACGAGAGGACCGGAGUGGACGCAUCACUGGUGUUCGGGUUGUCAUGCCAAUGGCACUGCCCGGUAGCUAAAUGCGGAAGAGAUAAGUGCUGAAAGCAUCUAAGCACGAAACUUGCCCCGAGAUGAGUUCUCCCUGAGACUUUAGGUCUCCUGAAGGAACGUUGAAGA